RNAcentral lists this ribosomal RNA (243 nucleotides) under uncultured prokaryote. Its description in RNAcentral is "partial 16S ribosomal RNA". It matches the Rfam family "Bacterial small subunit ribosomal RNA", at positions 524 to 766 of the family's 1533-position model. The record is from RNAcentral.
UACGUAGGCAGCAAGCGUUGUUCGGAGUUACUGGGCGUAAAGGGUGCGUAGGCGGCUUUUUAAGUUUGGUGUGAAAUCUCCCGGCUCAACUGGGAGGGUGCGCCGAAUACUGAGAGGCUAGAGUGUGGGAGAGGAAAGUGGAAUUCCUGGUGUAGCGGUGAAAUGCGUAGAUAUCGGGAAGAACACCCGGGGCGAAGGCGGCUCUCUGGGACGGUACUGACGCUGAGACGCGAAAGCGUGGGG